AAAAAAAGUGUCAGAUUUGGGGAAAAAAAGGGCUGAAAGUUGUUAGGUUUAUACAAUAAAUAAUAUAGACAAAGUCAAACACAAAGCAAACAGAAGCAGGCUUAAUUACAAGGCUGAAUGUUUCAUCAUAAUCAAUCACUUUUAAGAAAAUGCAGCAGAGCUUGCUGUUCUCUGAUAGUCUCAAGGUACUACUGUUCUCUAUUUUAUUUUAAUCUGUUGGAUUAGAUGCCUAUACCAGUUUCCCUAUUACAGUUGUUUUACAGCGUGCAAUCUUUGUUUUUGCUACUAAUAGCUAUUACUAAAAGUUGCACCCACCUCAGUAUUCACUUUUAAGAAAAGAAAAAGAGAAAAAAAUGAUUUUGGCAAAUAGGGGCAUAUGUCUUCAAAGCCAAUUCUUGUUUAAUCAUGCGAUACUUGUUUAUAUGAUUUAAACGGUGGAUCGUGUGUCAAUUUCCAAAGUAUACUCAGUAUUCAACAAGCCUUGGGGUAGAUAGCCAUUUAUGGAAAUACAAAAGCACCAAUUUGCAAUAGAUUUGAAUUCUUAUGGAAAUUUUUACUUUGGUCUUUUUUUAACUCAAGCGACUUUACUUUCAGGAUUUGAAAAAACUGAGAACAGUGUUAUACUCAGAGGCCAAAUAUCUUGAACUAUGGUACACCAAUGAUGACCAAAAACAAAUGUGAGUUGCUCUAAUUACUGCUGAUAAUUUCAAUUUUCUAUUGAGAAAAUAAACCAUCUUCACAUUUAUGCAGAUUGGUGGAAACAUUGAAAGAUUAUGCCAUCAACGCUUUGUCAAUAUUGUGGACCAUUUGGGUUCUGUGACUUGUAAGGUUAACGAUCCCUUAGAUGCAAAGGUCGAUGAAGUUUCGGAUGCAGAGCAUCGAGUAUCUUGCAUGAACAGGUAUGCUUGAAUUCUGGAAUGGAUUUAAAAAAAUUGUAAUUCAAUCAUCAGAGGUUCCUGAGACUAUUGAUGAGUGUAUUGCAACUAUAAAUUGUUUUCCUUUUCUUACAUAACCGAGCAUUCUUUUUAUCAAUUGGAUUGAAUAUCUCUCCUUGUGAGAGUUCCUCUCAUUAUAUAGAAACUGUAGAGAUUUACAAGGCUGAUUUUCAGCUAUUACAUCAACCAAAUCUAGGCUAAUUUCUAGUAAUUAGAUCUAUCUAAACAAGGAAAUUACAAAUACUCCUAAUUACAAUAUAUGUAUAGCUACGAUACAUAAUUUAUGCCUUGAUAGAUGCUGUCAUCCCCCCUCAAAUUGAUGUUGAUCGAUCAAGAAGCAUCAAUUUGCUCACAAGAAAUUGAUGACGCUUUUGUGUCAUAGCAUUGGUAAAUACAUCGGCUCUCUGGAGAGUAGUGGAAAUAUGAGGAAGAGAAAUAAUACGAGUGUCCAAAGCUUCGCGAAUAUAAUGACAAUCCACUUCAAUAUGCUUAGUACGCUCAUGGAAAACCGGGUUUACACAAAUCUGAAUAGCACUAGUGUUAUCAGCAUGGAGUGGAGUAGGAUUAGAUUGAGAGAAACCAAGCUCGGCUAGAAGUCCACGAAGCCAAACAAUCUCUAAACAACCAGCAGACAUAGCACGGUAUUCAGAUUCAGUUGAAGAUUUAGAAACACGAUCUUGCUUCUUACUCUUCCAAGAAAUCAGGGGAUUCCCAAGAAACAUACACCAGCCCGUGACAGAUCGUCGACUGUCCGGACAGCCAGCCCAAUCAGCGUCACUAUAGGCAACAAGAUGAGGAGGAGAACCAGCGGGAAAGAACAAUCCACGGCUAGGAGUCCUACGAAGGUAUCGAAGGAUACGAUGAACAACAACUAAAUUUAAAUGACGGGGAUGUUGCAUGAAUUGACUUACUUGCUGGAUAGCAAAGGAAAUAUUCGACCUCGUAAUAGUCAAAUAAUUCAAGCUUCCCACCAAUUGUCGAUAGAUAGUAGGAUUAGAAAUGACUUUACCUUCCUUACUACUAUACUUUGUGUUGACUUCUAGUGGAGUAUCCAUAGGAGAGGCAUUAUGAAGACCAACUAAUUUAAGCAAAUCUUGUGUGUAUUUAUGUUGAUUCAAAGAAAUCUCUGAAGAAUCAUAAUGAACUUCCAAACCCAAGAAAUAAGUAAGAGGACCAAGAUCCUUCAUAUGAAAUGAGGCUUGAAGAUGUUGUUGCAACCGAGCAAUUAAAGCAGAAUCUGUCCCAAUAAUAACAAUAGCAUCAACAUAAACUAGGAGAAGAACAAUACCAGUAAAUGUCUUGCAAAGAAACAAUGAUGAGUCAUAUUGGCUUUGCUUAAAUGAGAAUUGAAGCAAGGUGGAUCGGAAUUUAUCAAACCAAGCCCGGGGAGCUUGCUUUAACCCAUAGAGCGAUCGCUUCAACUUACAGACAUCUAAAGAAGAGGAGGAAGGCAAGCCAUGUGGUAGAACCAUGUAAAUCUCAUCUUUGAGAUCACGAUGAAGAAAAGCAUUUUUAACAUCCAUUUGAUGAAGUGGCCAGCCUUGUGAGGCAGCAAUCGAAAUAAUUGUACGGACUGUAGUCAUUUUGGCAACCGGAGCAAAAGUCUCUUUAUAAUUGACCCCAUACUCUUGUUUGUUACCAAGGACAACUAGUCGUGCCUUAUAGCGAUCUAGAGAACCAUCUAAACGACGCUUGAUUGAGUAGACUCAUUUACAACCAAUAGGUUUAACAUUACAACCCAUGUGUGAUUGUCCUCAAGAGCUUGAAGUUCUUCUUCCAUAGCCUUACGCCAACAAUCAUAUUUAGCAGCUUCUGAAUAACAUGAAGGAAUAGAAACACUGGUCAAAGUAGUAUGAAGAGAUGUGUGAAAUCCAUACCGAUUAGGUGGUCGGAUGAUUCUAGAAGAGUGGCGAACAGUAGUGUUUGAGGGCUGAUUGUCCGUGGAAGAAACCUAAAUUUAUUAAAUGAGAUAGGAUAACAGAAUUAGGAUAGCCUAAACAUUUGUGCCAUAUUUCACUCUUUUGAUUUACCGCAAUACUAGCCAAAGAAACGAAAUUAGAAACAGAAAAGUGCAAAGGAAACAAGCGUCCAACUUUAGGCCCCUUCGUUAGUAUCUUCCCCGACACCUGAUCCCGCACAAUACAACCAUCACGGGAAAAUCGAACAUCACAGUUAUUAUCAACCAAUUGUCCUACUGAAAUAAGAUUAGUAGAAAGCUAAUGAGAUACAAGAACAUCUUUAAUGGAAAAACUGAUGUCCCCAAUAGCAUGAAUAGGUAACUUACUACCAUUAGCAAUCUGAAUGUUUCCAUAAUAUUUUUGAACAUUGCUAAGAGUGUCGCUGGAAUUAGUCAUAUGAUUGGAUGUGCCAGAAUCAACAAGCCAAGAGAAAUAUGGUAGAGUACAUUUACUUUGAAGCCCUAAGGCUGAAAAGGCUGUAAUUAUCAUCUGCUGAACCAUUUAUGGAGAAAGAACUGAUUUAUCAACAAUUGUUAAACCAUCAACGGCCUGAUUAACAACAACGGCCUAACUAGCAACAACGGCCUGACUAGCUUGACAAUUUUGGGGACGAGUAGGACAUUCUUUGAUAAUAUGCCCAGGCUUCUUACAAUAGUUGCAAAAUUUCUUUGCACAUUUAACAACAAUAUGUCUGUAUUCCUUGCAGCUAAAGCAUUGAACUUGUCGCAUGUCUCUCCCCUUACUUUUCCAAUGAGCUGCAGCAUAAGCAAUUGCAUUAUCAUGCAUUUUAUUUUGCUGGAGAAUAGUUUGUGUUGCAAGACGUUGCUCUUCACGAAGUAAUUCUUUAAAGCACACAUCCAAAGAAGGAGAAAGAUCACGAUUCAUCAGAUUGGAGCGGGCUGCCUCAUAUUUAGGACGUAGUUUCAUCAAAAACUGAUCUCGCUUGCUCUGUUCAUGCACUUCUUGCACAUCAGCCAGAGAUUCAAUUGGUACUUGGACAUAAAUCAUGUCAACAUAUUCUGCCCAUAAGUUCUGAAAUCCAGAGAAAUAAUUUUGAAUGGAGAGAUUACCUUGAGAGUACCUAGCAAUCUCGUACUCUAAAUGAGAACGUUUGGCUGUAUUGUCCUGAUUAUAAACCUUUUUCAAAUACUCCCACAUGUCUUUAGCUGUCUUAUGUAGCUUCAGAUUGAGAAUGAGUGACUGAUCAAUUGAUCCCAUAAUCCACGUCAUGACUCAAGCAUCUUUGACUUGCCACUGAGCCAAUUUAGGAGGGUCAGUAGGAGCUAGAUCACUACCAUUGAUGUGACCCCAGAGUUCCUUUCCCAUGACAAAUAAUCGAAACUAAAAUUCCCAGGUAGAAUAAUUCUUACUCGUGAAACGCACACCAAAAUUUUCCAUGUUGCUAGUUGACAUGUUACCCGCAACUCACCAAAUGUAACAAGAAGUAAAGCAAAUCAACUAACCUAAGAGUUCACAAAAAAUACCAGAAAUCUACCCAAAACUAAGAUCUUAGACUCACAAGAAGUUUUUCUAAAAUUUUGAAUUAUGGCUCUGAUACCACAUCAUGAAUUGGAUUGAAUAUCUCUCAUUGUGAGAGUUCCUCUCAUUAUAUAGAAAUUAUAGAGAUUUACAAGGCUGAUUUUCAGCUAUUACAUCAACCAAAUCUAGGCUAAUUUCUAGUAAUUAGAUCUAUCUACACAAGGAAAUUAUAGAUACUCCUAAUUACAAUAUAUAUACAUCUAUGAUACAUAAUUUAUGCCUUGAUAUAUGCUGUCACCUUUGAUCAUCCAUCCUAAGUCUCUUCUUUAAGAUUGAUUUCACUGCAUUAAAAUAGUCAGAUUCAACAGUUAAUGGUGGGUGCAGUCCAGAAUCAACUGCCAUUUUGAUGCCAUCAAGAACUGCCAAAGCAUUCAGUAAUCUCCAUAUUUUCUAAGCAAGUUUUCCUAGUGAUGGAAGCAGCCGUGACACCCCAUUUGAAUUUAUUAUAAUACAAGUCAAACCUGCUUUUAUUCUAGAUUUAAAGAUGCAUCUACUUUUGGUGAUUCUACCCAAGAUAAAACGUAUGCAGAAAAUUGUUGCUCAAUGUCAGCCUUGCUAAUUCUUUCAAAAUAUAAUUCACAGCUUUGAAGAAUUUGUUACAGCUUUCUAAUAUUUUAAUAUUUAAAUGGUAAAACUAACAUUAUAGAUUCUCUUGUUACAAAAACGUCAACUAAUCCAAAAGCAGAAAAUGAUGCACGAAGAAACUUGGCCUCAACUGCCUCAAAGUGUCUGAAUGAGACGAGAAAAUAAACAAAAUGAAGAAACUUCUAAACUACAAAGUCUAGGCAAAAUUGAUAUACUAAAAAAAAAUGGUAUUUUAGAGGAAAGACUCUCCUUAAGUAACAUAUUUGAAAAUUUGGUAGGAAAAGAGGAAAAAAUGAUUAUUAAACAGGCCACAUAAAAUUUCCAAAUGAAUAUUGUCUCAUAGGAUAAACUGGUAGGUGCAAAUUGAAUGAAUAUUGGACAAGAAUGAAAAAUCAGUUAUGUAAUGAGUCUUCCAACCAUGAAUGAUCAAAGAAUAGAAACUUACACUAAAAGUUUCCCAUUAACGACAUAUAUCUGCCUUUUCACUUUGUCUAGUUGCAACUGCAUUGGGAAAUUGAAUCCAAGUAAGAAUUUAUUGAAAAAGCAACAAAGUUAAAGGAGCAAGGUAUGAUCUUAGGAUCAUGAUGCAUCAUCUCCUUAUCAAUAGCUAAUGUUGCAUACACAAUUGAUUCAUUCUCAUUGGACUCAUAAUCCACUUCAAUGUCACUGCAUGGGAAAAACCCUUUUCUAAGAAACAACAAAACCUUUCAGGUACAGUUCCUCUAAAAAAACUUCUGAAAGGUGGACAAAGAGCACUACACCGUCAAGGGAAGAAAAGAAAUAGAUCAAUUGUAAACAACAGAGGAAUUACUGACUCUCUGUUGUGUUCCUCAACAGACAAAACUGAGAACAAUUCACCCACUCAAGUUCCAAUAUUAUAGUUUCCUCGUUGCCAGUUUAUUCAAAAUCUUUUAGAACAAUUCCAAUAUUCUGAUAAUAUUACCAUUGACUUUACCCUUUGUUUUUUUAUGGUUCACACAACUUAUAACUAAAUUACAAAUUAGUUCACAUGCCAGUAAAUUGUCUAAUCCAAAAUUUAACAAUAUGAGCCACCGCCCAUCCAUUAGAGUAAACACCAUAACAGAAAAUUAGAAAAAUUGUUACAAUCUUUCCAUUAUAAUUUUCUUUUAAUUAUUUACUUUAUAUUUUGACAGUAGUUGGUUUUUAAUAAGUCAAAAUUAAGUUGUUAGUUGGUUCCUUAUUUUGUGGAUUCAUGGAGCAUGAUGGAGAACAUGCUUAAUGCUUGCUAUUUUUAUGCUUGUUACUUUGAACUAAAGUUUUAUUUAAAACUUGAUGUUAUUCAAUAAAAGAGUGUCUUGAGUAUUACUAUUCUCGCGAGAGUUGUAAGUUGUCUUUUGGGAGUUUAUUGGUUUCUCAAAUAACCAAUACUAUUUUGGAGGUCUAGAUUUCCUAGAAUUAACAUAUUCUUAUCGAUUUUGUUGGAUAUAACGAUAAUGAGAGAAGGCUGGUUUGUAGACUGCUGAGUUAUAUUUUAUUGAGCAAUAAAAUCAUCUAUUUAUACAACAUAAUGAAAACUAAAGUGCAGAAAAAUCUGCUACAUUUGAGCAUAAUAACUACGUGCAGGAAAAUAACAUGAAGAAGUGGUCAUAAUCCUAAAAAAUAGCAACAAAAAAAUUGAUUUAGCUUCAUGAGUCAAUAUCUAAUCUUUGGAAGUGCUUUUGUUAAGAUGUCAGCACUUUGAUUUUCUGUUUUGCAGUAGAUCAGCUGCACUUCUCCUUCUCUUUGUACCUCUCUUAGAAAAUAAAGUUUUAUCUUGAAGUGUUUUGUUUUGCCAUGGAACACUGGAUUAUUAGCAAUUGAAAUUGCAGCUUAGUUGUCCACAAAUAUUUGUGUGCCUUCUUGUUGUUCCAUAUGCAAAUCUGUCAUAAGUUUCCUGAUCCAAAGAGCUUGAUUCACAGCAGUAGCAGCAGCAGCUACAUAUUCUGCUUCUGCUGUGGAUUGAGCUAUGACUUCUUGCUUCUUAGAACACCAUGAAACAAUUCCAGAAACAAUUUCAGAACCAAAGCUAAAAUAGUAACCUGAGGUGCUUCUCAUGUCAUCAACACAUCCAGCCCAAUCACUAUUAGAAUAUCCAUGAAGAUUGAAGUUUUUAACUUGAUUAAACCUUAUUCCAUAAUCAAUUGUGCCCUUAAUAUAUCUAAGAAUUAUUUUUGCUGCCUGAAAAUGAAUUUCACUGGCAUAGUGCAUAUACCUUGAUAGCAAACUCACUGCAUGCAUGAUAACUAGUCUGGUUCAGUUAAAUACAUUAGGCAGCCUAUUAGGCUCCUGUACAACCUUUCAUCCACCUUUUCAACUCCAUCUUCUUUACAAAACUUCUCCUUUUGAUUCAUUGGAGUUGCAGUUGGCUUGCACUCUUCCAUGUUAAAUUUCUUGAGAACUUCCUUUGCAUAUUUUUACUGGCAUAGAAAUAUUUCAUUUUCCUUUUGAUGUACCUGCAUACCAAGGAAGAAUGUCAUCCUCCCAAGGUCUGUCAUUUCAAAAACAUCUUUCAUUUCUUCUUUAAACCUGUCAAUCAACUUCUUACUACUUCCUGUAACGAGUAGAUCAUCAACAUACAGAGAUACCACAAGUAUUUCAUUAUCCGCCUUCUUGAUAUAUAAAGUAGAUUCACUCAGACUUUUUUCGAAGACUAAGUUUGCUAAGUGUGUGUCAAUUUUGCUAUAUUAGGACCUUGGUGCCUUUUUUAAAUCGUACAUGGCUUUUUCAGUCGAUAUACCUUCUCCUCUUGUCCUGGAAAAACAAACCCUUCAGGUUGCUCCACAAAAAUUUCUUCCUCCAAGUAUCCAUUCAAAAAGGCUGAUUUGACAUCCAUUUGGUGUAUAACCCAACCUUGCUGUGCAGCAAGAGCUAGCGACAUCCUUAUGGUAUCCAACCUGGCAAUCGGGGCAAAAGUUUCAGAAAAAUCUACCCCAAACAUCUGGGCAUAUCCCUUAAAAAUAAGGCUUGCCUUGUGCUUGUUUACAGAACCAUCAGGAUUGAGCUUGGUCCUAUAAACCCACUUGACUCCUAUAGCUUUCUUGUGUUCAGGUCUGUCUUCCAACUCCCAUGUCUGAUUCUUUUCAAUCAUCUUUAGCUCGUCCUUCAUUGUAGCUAUCCACUUCUGAUCAUUUGCAGCUUCUUCAUAUCAUGCAGGCUCCAUUAUAACAAUAUUACACCUCUGAUAGAUGUCAGAGAGUGAUCUGGUUCCUCUAACAUUUUCAUCAUCUGUAUCAUCAUUCUCCUCCUCGACCUUAAGCUUCUUGUCAUUCUCCCAACUCCAGUUAUCUAACUCAAAGAAUUAAACAUCCCUGCUGACGAUUACUUUGUUGCUUUGCAGUAAGUAAAUCCUGUAGGCUUUUGAGGUUGAGCUAUAGCCUACAAAAAUCCCAGGUUCUGCUUUUUUGUCUAAUUUGUCUCUCUUAACUUUAGGGAUGUAAGAGAAACAUAGACAAUCAAAUAUCUUCAGAUUAAGCAGCUUUGGUUUGUAGCCAUACCAUGCUUCAAAUGGAGUUUUUUCUGUAACGCUUUUGUUGGCAAUAUGUUCAAUAAAAAAACUGCAGUGUUUACGGCCUCAGACCAAAAUUUCUUCGGCAGCCCUUUGUCAUGAAGUAAGCAUCUUGCCAUCUCUAUUAUUGUCUGGUUUUUCCUCUCUACAAUACUAUUUUGCUGAGGAGUGCAAGGUGCUGUCAGUUGAUGUUCAAUGCCUGCAUCUUCACAAAACUUGUUAAAUUUUUCAAAGGUAUAUUCUGUUCCAUUAUCAAACCUAAUCACCUGUAUUUUGCAUCUGCUUUGAGUUUCAACCCAAGCUUUAAACUUCACAAGGAUGUCAGCAACCUUAGAUUUAAGCUUCAUAAAACAAAUCCAGCACAUUCUUGAGUAAUCAUCAAUGAAAACAAUAUAAUACUUACUGUUAUUCAAAUAUGGUGUUUUCGUUGGUCCUCCCACAUCUGUUUGUAUUAAUUGCAACCUCUGUAUAGCCCUCCAAGCCUUAUUUUGUUGAAAUGGAAUCCUGGUUUGCUUUCCAUACUGACAGGCAGCACAUCUAGGAGACUCCUCCUCUAAUUCAAGCAAGUCUUUGACUAGAUUGUUCUUUUUCAUGUAGAGUAGAGUAAUAUGAUGAAAAUGCCCCAACCUCUUAUGCCAAAUCAAUGUAUUGCUAUCUUCUCUGUGUACAGAAGCCUGCUCUUCUUUCAUCAAAUCCAAGGAAAAGCUUUUGCCUUUCAUUUGAACUUUGAAUACUUCUCUGUCUUUUGCAUCUUUGAUCACACAGUUCUUAUCUUCAAACAACACCUUAUAGCCUUUUUCUAACAACUGAGUAACACUAAAAAGAUUUUGAUUAAGUUCAAGAACAUAUAAAACAUUAUAAAUCAAUUUCAGACCUGUAUGGCCUUCAAUCGCUACUGUUCUUUUGCCUUUUACUGCAAUGUGUGCCCCAUUUCCAAUUCUGACUUUGGAAAUAGUAGUCGCGUCAAGCUCUGUGAAGAGCUCUCGAUCAUAAGUCAUGUAGUUUGUACAACCACUAUCUAUAAGCCAAUUCUCUGUGGAGCUGUUGGUGGCAAAACACGAUACCACAAACAGUUGUUCCUCUUGGGGUUGAUCUUCAAUAGCCUUGGCUUCACUUUGCUGUUGUUGAGUCUUGCAUAUCCUUUCCACGUGCCCUGACUGACCACACUUGUGACAUUUUGCAUCUGGCCUCCACCAACACUUAUUUUGUGGAUGAUUGAUUUUUUUUGCAGUAAGGGCAAGGUAGAAAGACUUGAGUGUUGCUACUUUGGCUAUUUUUAUUACUGCUUGCAGAACCUCCAAGCUUGUUGUCUUUGUUCUGGUUUUUCUUAUUUUUGCCACCUUUGUUGUUUUGUGAUUUGGCUUGAAAAACACCCUCCAGAGAUCCUUCUUGUCUCAUAAGCCUCAUUUGCUCCAGUGCCUGCUGUGCAUUCAACAAUUCUGCCAAGGUAAUACUUGACAGAUCUCUUGAGUUUUCCAAAGAUGAAAUUGUAGCCUUAAACUUUUCAGGAACCAUGACUAGGAUUUUUUGAACAACUCUAGAAUCAGAAAAAUCAGUGCCAAUGAGUCUUACCUUGUUGACAAUCUUAAAAAGUCUGUCAGAAUAUUUCUGAAUUGUUUCUGAUUCUUUCAUCUUUUGCAUCUCAAAUUCUAGGAUCAAAUUCAACACUUGCAUCCCUUUGACCCUGUCAUUUCCUUCGUAUUCUUGCUUCAAAAAAUCCCAAAUUUCCUUGGCUGUUUUGAGCGUCAUUAUUCUGGAAAAAAUGGUGGAUGAGACUGCUGCAAACAAGGUUGCUUUUGCUUUUGAUUUUGAUUUUCUUUACUUCAUCUCUUUUUUAUUUCUGAUUUGUGCAAGAGUUAGAUUGUCUGGCAGGGGUGGAACUUCAUAUAUUUGUUCAACAGCUUCCCACAGAUCAUUAGCAUCAAGAUAAGCCUUCAUUCUAACAUCUCACGCUUGAUAAUUUAUUCCAUCAAACACUAGAGGUGCAAUUGCAGUGAAUGGACUUUCUGAAUUCAUUCUGGAAAGGUUUUGUGUUUUUGGGAAGAUAGGUGAUAAUUGUUUAGGAAUUGUGUUCAAACUUUCUCAAUCUCACAUGUCCCUAAAGAUUAUAGCUCUGAUACCAUUAUGUUGGAUAUAAAGAUAAUGAGAGAAGGCUGGUUUGUAGACUGCUGAGUUAUAUUUGAUUGAGCAACAAAAUCAUCUAUUUAUACAACAUAAUGAAAACUAAAGUGCAGAAAAAUCUGCUACAUUUGAGCAUAAUAACUAAGUGCAGGAAAAUAGCAUGAAGAAGUGGUCAUAGUCCUAAAAAAUAGCAACAAAAAAACUGAUUUAGCUUCAUGAAUCAUUCCAGUCAACAGAUUUCCUUCUAUUUUGUUCAAGUUACUGUUACAAACAUUUGUGUUCAUAUCGUAAGCAUUAUCUUUAAAUUUUGUUUUCAAGUUUCGAUACUAGACAACAAUAAAAGUAGGGGUGGGCACAGUUCGGUCCAGUUCGGUUCGGAUCGAAAUUAAGCAGAACCGAUUUAAAUCGGUUAUUUUAUAAAAAGAACCAAAUAAGAACCGAACUUGAUAAAAACUGAAUAUAAACGGAUCUUUUCGGAUCGGUUCGGUUUUUUCGGUUUUGGGCCUAGUGGGCCUAUUUUGAAUUUCUAAAUUUUUAGCUCAUUAGGCCUCAUGAAUGUAAUAAUUUUUUUCAACAAUUAAUUUAUCCUAAUUUCAUUACAAAUAUUAACAAUAAAUACAAAGUAUUCAAAACACAUUUUAUCACUAAUAUUUUACUAACUACUAAUAAGGUACUUACAAAAUAUGAAAUAUUAAGAUUUCAAAAUACAUAAUCAAACUCCAAUAUUCCAUCUACAUAAACAUAAUGUUGUAAAGACAAAUAAAAAUAACAACAAUUAAAACUUACAACACAAAAUAAAAAGAAAAUUUGGAAACAAACACCAACAACAAUUUUUAAAUAUAUAUAUACCCGUAAUCGUGUGUGUGCAUGCAUAUUUUAGUUAUCUUACGCAACCAAUUAAAAUUUAACACGUGUCUAUUUAAAUAAAAUUCCAAGAAUAACCCGGUUUUUUGGUUCAGCUGAGUGAACCGAAUACCAAACCUGCAUUUUGGUUUUUUUUACAAACCAUAUAUUUUGGUUAUUUUUUAAAAUUAAAACCGGUCCGAACAGAACAGUUCGGAUCGGUUCGGUUCAGUUUUCUCUAGUGCACGGUUUUUUUUGCCCACCCCUAAAUAAAAGAAACUUAUAGCGUCAACCCUAAGAAAUCACUAUUAGGGUCAAUUUAUUUGAUAUAUUGCAACUCGAUAACCAACUCAUACUCAUCCUAAACAAUCAUAUUAGAAAAGAAACAUCUUUCUAACAUUAAGAAAUAUACAAAGCAUAGUAGAACCUAAGAACACAAACAUGUAACAGUAGAAUUAAAUAUUUUGGUUUUUUUUUUCCUCUUUUAGGAAAUAAAGCUUUGAAGACAAUUGACUGAAACCCAUCUUCAGAAACCAAACCUCUCAUAUAUAAAAACAGUAUGAGAACAAAACGCAACAAACCCACAUUGAAUAACCAACCAAAGCAUAAAAUUUUUGCGAAUUUCACAGAGGAAGAUAAUAAUAUUGAAUAAAUAAGGCAAAAUUAACAUUUUUCGAAAAGUGGAAAAUCCCAGUAAAUGGAUACUUAGUUGAAAUUCUAGCAUAAUAAAUACAUUUCAAAAUGUUAAAUUAAAGAAGCAUAAGCAGCCAAGAGAGAGAAUUAAAACCAGCUGAAUUCCCAUUGCGAUGCAUAAGAAGGUAGAGCAGCUCCCAUCACACACACACACACACACACACAUAUAUAUAUUCAUUUUGAGUUGAACCAGCACGAGCCGAGUUUUCGCAUUUUAGUACAACUCUUUUAGAUAAUAUAUAGAUUUUUUAAGUAACUUUUUAAAAAAGAUUUUUAACAUUUAAAGCUUUUCGUAAAUCCAAAAUUUAUAACUAAAACUUUUGAGAAAAAAUGAUAUUAGUUAUUUUCUUAUCAGGUCAUUUUAUAAUGUCGUGAUUAAAGUCAUAAUAUCAAUAUUGUAAUUAAAUAUAAAUUAUAUAAAUAAAACAUAAAACUCGUAAAUUUAACAUAAAAUUUUUAAAUCAAUAUACAUAAAAUUAAGAAGUAAAACAUAAAUGAAAGAUAAAAUAAGUAAAUUAAUACAAAAUUAGUAGAUUAAUGUAUUAUUGGUAAAUAAAACAAAAACUUACAAAUAUAGUAUAAAGCUAGUAAAUCAAUUUAAGUGGACACUAAAGCAUAAAUUUUGGGAAUGGUACAUAAAACUUGUAAAUAAAAGGUAAAAUAAGUAAAUUAACAUAAAUAUGGUAAAUUGAUGUACUAUUGGUAAAUAAAAGGAAUAUUAGUAAAUAUAGUAUAAAAACUAGUAAAUUAUCGUAAACUAUAAAAUAAAAGAUAAACUUUGGAAAUAAAACAUAAGAUUUGUAAAUGAAGGAUAAAAAAAGUAAACUAAUAUAAAAUUGAUAAAUUAAUGUAUCACUAGUAAAUAAAAUAAAACCUACAAAUACAACAUAAAACCACUAAAAUCAACAUUAAGUGCAAUAUAUAAUAUAAAUUUUAGAAAUGAAACAUAAAAACAUAUAAAUAAAAAGUAAAAUAAAUAGAUUUAACAUAAAACUGAUAGAUUAAUGUAUUAUUGGUAAGUAAAAUGAAAAUUUAUAAGUAAAAAUAUUGAGUAAAAUGAUAUUAGUUAUUUCUUAUCAAUAUGAAAUAUAUUUCCAAGUUAAAAAGGUAUUUCUCAAAGACAAAUUGACGUAUGGACUUGAGUAUUUGGUAGGAAGUGUUGUGAAAAAUUUUAAUAUACUCGCAAGCGCACAAAUUGACGUAAGGUAUUUCUCAAAGACAAAUUGAUAUUAGAACCUGGAAUUUUUGUAGGCUCCAGCUCAACCUCAAAAGCCUAUAGGAUUUACUUACUGCAAAACAACAAAGUAAUCGUCAGUAGGGAUGUAUUGUUUUCUAGCUAGUUGUCUUUGUUCUAGAAGAAAGAUUGGGAAGCAAACUGAAAAUUACUAGUAAAAAAGAGGGUUCACUACAUGUUGGCUGAAGUGGGAGAGGCUCGCACUCUAACCGGUUUUAGACUCUGUUAGAUUUAACGCCCAUGAUGGGACAGAUUAAUCUAACGUAAGUGAUAAGAUAAACUUAGAGUUUGUCUAGGAUUCUUAUGAGAUAAAAUUAGUAUUUUAUCUUAAUCCUAAUCACAUAAGAUGUAACUUGUCAAAUAACUCUAGGAAGUUGAUUUGAAUAAAACUACACUUAUUGUACUAUAUAAACAGUAUAUGCAAAGGUUUUGUAGGAAAGAUAAUUUUGUGAAGUUCGUUUACUUAGGCCAAUUUGUUUUUUUAAAGAUUCGCACACAUGUCUUUAUGUAUCUACUAAGGUUAUUACCUACUAGGAAAAACAAAACAGAUUUAGAUAAAAAUCAUAAAUUCAUGAAUGCUAUAAUCAAGAAGAGAUUGAAAGUGGUUUGGAAUGGAAGAAGGGUGAGAGAGAGCGCCUAACAAUUUUUUUUUAAAGUAUCGACGUAGGGGUUUAUUAAGAAAGUACAACAAAUGAGGGUUAUUUUAGGAAUUAAAAAGAAUAUGUAGAGAAAAUGGGUUUAAAAAGAAAGUUAGAGGUGCGCCAAUAGUCCAACUCUUUAAUGAAAGAUAUAGAAUCAAAGAUAAUCAUGUAUAAACUUUAUAGAUUCAAGUAUAGAUUUAAUUUAAUAUUAAUCUUAACAAUCAAUAAUACAUGACAAAAUUGAUGAAAAGAUUUUAAUAACAUCCAAUUAAUUAUGUGAAACAAAAAUCAUAAUCAUCAAAGCACGCAUGUAGGGAAUUAAUUAAAUAAAAAUAUAAUUAUUUCAUUGAAUAGGGUUUCAUUCUUAACCUCAAUAUAAGAAAAUUAACUAGACAUACUUGAAUUGGGAGCAACAAAUAAAAUAAAAUCCAGCCAUGAAGAAUUAAACUGCUGCUGCUAUUUUUCUUCUCUCCUCCGCCGAAUACUCUGCUUUUCCUCCUCUUUGGCGGCUCCCACCCUUUUAUAAUGCUAGUUGGCCGAAUUCUUCUCCAAUUAAUUGCUAGGAAACCGCCUCCUUUAAGCCCAUAUUCACUCUCACACGCCAAAUCCUUUGUAUAUUAUUUCCUUAUUAAAAUUGGAAAGCUAGCCACACGUUUGACUUCCAAAGCAAAAGGCCAAUUAAUGAUUUCUUCCUUUAAUGCCCAGCACAUGCAUUCCAAAUUGCUAAAUAAAAUCUUUCUUUAAUUAUCUUAAGCUCAUGCGGAAGCUUUGGAACAUAAUCUUUAAUUCUUCAAUUCUUUCCUCUUAUGGAUCUUUUAUGCACUUUUUUUUCAUGAUCUCCAAUUAAUUCUCUAUUCAAUAAAAUAAUUCAAUUAAUUAAAAAUAAAAAAUAAAAAUAACUAACAAAUAUUCAAUAAAAGGUAAAAUAUGUAUAUAAAUUAUGUUCAUCUGGAAGUCGAGUCAUCAAUUGAGAGACUUGUAAGUAAAGACUAGAGAGGCAAGGUAACUUGUUUGUAAGGUAACUUGUUUGUUUGCUUCUGCAUCGCGCAUACUAGAGGAUCAUAUUGGGAUAUUCCUAAGGGGUAUAUUUGGUAACUGCAUUGGCAUCAUUCAUUUCGAAUCUUUGAUUGGUUAAUUUGGAAUAUUACCUGGCACCAACGCAAUUAGUUAUUUUAGAAUCUCUCUCUUUAUAAAAACAUUUCAACUUACAAUUUCCAUUUCGAUCUUUUUGCUUUGCUUUUUGCUUUCAUCAAUCAAUCAUUCAUUCAUUCACUCGCCUUCCCAAUCACAGCAAAAGCUAACUUCUGUAGCCCCCAAGCAAUUCCAGGUACAUUCUUUACAUUUUUCGUUUCUUCUUCUUGUUCUUUUUGUUGUUUUGUUUAAUAAUUACAAGUAUUUAUUUUUUAGGGUUUCUAGAAUUGAUCAUGUGAAGGUGAAAAGUGAUGAUGAUCAAGUAUCAACUUACAUUACGGUGUACAGGAUCACUAUGGAUUUUGAAAGAAUAAUGACCUAUUUUAUAUAAUAUAAAUGUUACCACAGUUUCUGCUUUCUAUUUUCAAAAAUUAUAGAACAUUCUGUUUAGCUGUUUCUAAAAAACUUAUUUCUUGCGGUGAGAAACAUCUUUUUAUUGUUUUAAGUUGUUUUCUUAAAACAUAUAUAUAUUUCAAAACAAACUAGCUCAACUUUUAUUAGUACUCUUUUUUUCCCUUACAUUUAAAAAAUAUUAUAGCGAAACCUCUCUAUAUUUGUAAUAUUGAGACCAUAUUAAUUUGUUACCAUGAGGGGAUUAUAAUUAAUAGAGGUAUAAUUACAAAAAUUAUUUUUUUAACUUAGUUAUCUUUAUUACAAAGAUAUAGAGGUAAAAUAUACACUGUAUUAAUAAUUUACUAAUGGAGCAUGUCAAAUCCAAUAUAUCUAUUAUCUAUGUACCAUUGUUAGAAAUAUGUAAAGUCAUCUUAAAAAUCUCUAAAUGUUUACAUUCUCUUUAAUAAUUUUCUCUCAUUGUGUAAUUGUAUUAUGUGGAAGCAAGUUCAUUUAAUCUAAUAUAACAUAUACUUUUGUAAUGCACAAAUAAUUAUUACUAUGUAGAAGCGGAUUUCUUAAGAUGACUAAACAAAAAUUAUUCCUAAUAAAUCAUUACUAUAAAAAGAUUUUACUGUAUCUUCAUUUUUUAAAAUAGUUCUUAGAGAAACUAUAAUUAAAAAUUGACAUAAAAAAUUUUCAUAUAUAUUUUAAAUUUAUAUCUAUCAAGGUUAUUAAUUUCAAUAAUAAAAUUUAUUCGACACCUAUAGUCAUUUCGAAAAUAACAAUCCCAAACCAAAUUGACAGAUGGUGUUAAAUGAGAUUUUAUGUUCGACUUUCAUCUGUGCUGAGAUUUUAUGUUCCACUUUCAUCCGUGAAUUUGGCUGUGAGAAAUUCAAAUUGGAAAUCAAAUCCUACUAUUUUCACAUAUAUGGGAAAAACAAUAUUUUGAGUCCUCAUAAAACCUUAAACAUGUCCUCAACUUUAUCAAAACAACAAACCAACCACUACACCAAAGACUCUCUUAAGUGAUUGAUAAAAUCUUUUAAAAGUGGUUUGAUGUUACAUUCAUUAUCUCAUAAAUAAUAAUGUAUCCAGCAAAGCUGAAGUCGAUUAUUUUAGAAGCCACAUCAAAUGUCAACCAAUCUGGUCCUUAAUAGCCAUUUCUCUGUUGAGUUUUAACAUUUAGAUCACAGCCUGUACUGCAAUCUAGCUCAAAUGCCACUAUUUUACUAACAUUUUUCCCCUACUGUUGUAAGUCGAGUUUCUAAUCUUUGAUAAUAUAUAACUGACAAGUGUUGAAAAUAAUAAUAAUAUUAAUAAAAUCUUGAGCUCUUGCCGUUACUCUAAUAUAAGCAGCAAUAUUUACUGCCUUAGAUACAAAAAACAGUAUUCCCCUCCUUGCGAGUUGUUUUCAUUUUGUUUGUGCUGCGAGAGAGAUAGAUAUAGUGGUAUCAGUUAGCAUAAUUUUUUUAUAGUGAAAAAACAAAGGCUAUCUCCAGUUUAUUCUUUCCCUUCCAUAUGCAUAUGAUUAAUAUGCUUUGUUGUAUCGGUUGUUCUGAUCUCUCCCACAGCAGAUUCUGGUUUAUUUAUGAUCUUUUGUAUAACUUUUAGUAGAUUUACUCAAGAAUCCUGUAAGCAAACUGCUUAAAAUGCAAAGAGCCGCGCCAUUAGCGUGACAAAUUAGUGAAACCCUGCAAAAAGAAGGGAUAGAAACAGUGAGGAUAUUAUGUAUUGUUUUCUAGCUAGUUGUCUUUGUUCUAGAAGAAAGAUUGGGAAGCAAACUGAAAAUUACCAGUAAAAAAGAGGGUUCACUACAUACUGGCUUAAGUGGGAGAGGCUCGCACUCUAACCGGUUUUAGACUCUGUUAGAUUUAACGCCCAUGAUGGGACGGAUUAAUCUAACGUAAGUGAUAAGAUAAACUUAGAGUUUGUCUAGGAUUCUUAUGAGAUAAAAUUAGUAUUUUAUCUUAAUCCUAAUCACAUAAGAUGUAACUUAUCAAAUAACUCUAGGAAGUUGAUUUGAAUUAAACUACACUUACUGUACUAUAUAAACACUACAUGGGUGAGUGAUAGCACGUAAAAUAAUAAUCACAAGAAUCAGAGCAACAUCAAAAGAGAGUGAGAGAAAAGGGAAAAAGUCAGUGGGUUCUUGCUUCGUGAAUUGAGGGGAUUUUCCAAAUACGUGAUUAUCCUCCGAUCAUCAGUGACAUAAACUCGUGACGAUCCAUUCGUGAAGGAGAUUUGCUCGUGAAGGUUCCAGUUCCUAACUCAUGAUGAUCCGUUCGUGAAGGAGAUUUGCUCGUGAAGGUUCCAGUUCCUAACUCAUGAUGAUCCGUUCGUGAAGGAGAUUUGCUCGUGAAGGUUCCAGUUCCUAACUCAUGAUGAUCCGUUCGUGAAGGAGAUUUGCUCGUGAAGGUUCCAGUUCCUAACUCAUGAUGAUCCGUUCGUGAAGGAGAUUUGCUCGUGAAGGUUCCAGUUCCUAACUCAUGAUGAUCCGUUCGUGAAGGAGAUUUGCUCGUGAAGGUUCCAGUUCCUAACUCAUGAUGAUCCAUUCGUGAAGGAGAUUUGCUCGUGAAGGUUCCAGUUCCUAACUCAUGAUGAUCCGUUCGUGAAGGAGAUUUGCUCGUGAAGGUUCCAGUUCCUAGCAAUCAAUUCUUAUUCGUUGCGAUCUGCUCGUGCUAGUUCCAGUUUCUUACUGAGGGGAUGCAUUGUUGACUGCCACUUAUGUACUUAAUCAAGUUCCGAGUAAGUCAGUAAGUUCCACUCCAUAUGAGCUAUAGACACAUAGAAAACCUAAUCUUACUCAUUUGCAUCCUUGGGGGUCUGCAACGUAUGUUCAUAACCCAUCUCAUAAACAUGGGAAAUUGGAUCCGAGAGGAAAGAAAUGUAUCUUUAUAAGAUACCCAGAAUACUCCAAAUGGUAUGUGUUCAUAGGUGAACAUGAUGAUAGAACCAUAACUAAGAUAAAAUCACGAGAUGUCACAUUUUUGGAAAAUGAAUUCCUUAGCAUUUCAGAGGUCCACAAAGACAUCCAUCUAUAUGAGUUGAAUGAUUCAGAGAUGAAUGACACUUCUGAUUUACAAAUUGAGAGAAACCUAGAUAUGUCUGGGAAUUCUGAUUCUAGUGGCAGUCAACCACAAAAUGACUUUACUCCACUUGACAACUCAAUUUGAAGAAGUAAUCGUACAACCAUACCACGUCGUCGUUUUGAGAUUGAGGGGGAGGUGUUUAUGAUUGCUUCACAUGAUGGUGAUGAGCCAAGAACUUAUAGUGAGGCUAUCACAUCAUCAGCUAAGGAAUUGUGGAUUAAAGCAAUAGAUGAAGAAAUGAAGUCAAUGAGAUCAAACCACGUCUGGGACUUGGUUGAUCUACCGGCCUACCGUAAGGCCAUUGGAAACAAAUGGGUUUUACGUGUUAAACGAAAGGCAUAUGACAUAAUUGAAAGAUACAAGGCAUGCUUGUUAGCGAAAGGAUAUAACCAACAAGAGGGUAUAGACUAUGAGGAAACUUUUUCCCCAGUCGUAAGGUUUGCCUCUAUAAGAUUAAUUCUAGCCAUCGUUGCACAUAUGGAUCUUGAAUUACAUCAAAUGGAUGUUAAAACAACUUUUCUCAAUGGAGAGCUAGAGGAGGAAAUUUAUAUGGAACAACCAGAUGGUUAUAUAAUCAAUGAUCAAGAGCGCAAAGUUUGCAAGCUCAAAAAGUCUAUAUAUGGGUUAAAACAAUCCUCCAAGCAAUGGUAUCUUAGGUUUCUGAAUCUGUGAUGACUUAUGGAUUCUCAAUGACCAAAAAAGAUCAUUGUGCAUACGUUAAAAGGACAGAGGGUAACUUUGUCAUCUUAUCGUUAUAUGUGGAUGAUAUAUUGUUGGCUGGAAAUAAUAUAGAGUUUGUUCAAACCAUCAAUGAAUGAUUAUUUUUAAACUUUGAAAUGAAAGAUAUGGGUGAAGCAUCUUAUAUCUUGGAAGUUAAAAUCCAUAGGGAUCGUUCUAAAAAACUUCUAGCUCUGCCACAAGAGUCUUAUAUUAGAAGAAUUCUUGAAAAUUUUAAAAUGGAUAAGUGUAAACUUAUGGAUACUCCCAUAUCUAAAGGAAAAACUCUUAACCUUGAAAUGUGUCCAAAGACUUCAAAGGAAUGAAAUGAAAUGACACAAGUUCCAUACUCUAAUACUGUUGGAAGUCUCAUGUACGCUAUGAUGUGUACAAGGCCAGAUAUUUGUUAUGCUAUGGGGUUGGUAAGCAGAUACCAAACAAAUCCUGGGCACAAACACUGGAAUGUUGUCAAAAGGAUUUUAGCAUAUCUGAAAGGCACUGCCGACCAUUCUUUAUGUUAUCAAGGAGGUGAUUUACACUAAAUUGAAUACACAGACGCCGAUUGGGGAGGCGAUCUUGAUGAGCUCAAAUCAACCUCAAGAUACGUAUUUCUACUUAGUUGCGGUGCGAUCUUGUGGAGUAACAAGAAGCAAACAUGCACAGCUCUGUCGACUAUGGAAGUAGAAUAUGUAGCAUGUUCAGUCACAAUACAAGAGGUUGUUUGGCUUAGGCGCUUCUUAAAUGAUCUCGAGAUUGUUAUUGGUCAUCCUCAGCCAGUAACCAUAUAUUGUGAUAGCCAAGCAGCCAUAUCCUUUACCAAGGAUGCAAAAUACCACAUCAAAUCUAAACACAUAGAGACAAAGUACAAUUUUGUGAGAGAUAUUGUGGUGAAAAAGGAAGUGUUGAUGCAACACAUAUCUACAAACUUCAUGGUUGUAGAUCCAUUAACUAAAGCCAUGACACGAGAUGUUUUUAUCGCACAUACGCAAUCAUUAGGAUUGCACAUAUUAUAAAAGUUGUACUUAAUAAAUUCUUUAUGUAAUAAAAUUAUUUUGAUUUAUUCUCAUAAGAUACUAAUUAGCAUGAUUACACACAUAUAUAUAUAAUUAUUAAAAGAUAUGUCCUCAGGUUAUGACCAGCUUUCUUACACAAGCAGUCACUUCAAUUGUUAAUGAAAGCAAGCUGGGAUGAGACACAAUAUUAAGAGAAAGUACUAGAUACGUUCUCAUGGAGCUUAUAUCUUGAAAAUGUCACCUUGACUGGGUCAAGAUAAAGAACCUAAUUAAGCCAGAUAUGAGUUCAUUUCGUGCCUUAUGAAGGCAAGCUUAUUGAGACUCAAAUUAGGCACUCGAAUAAGCGACUAAUUUAAGAUAUGUACAGUGGAUAGCUAGACAUAUGCUCUUAUACAAAGAGAAUUCACUGUAACGCGUGAUUCAUACCAUGCGUGCUUUUGUGACCAAAAGGAAAAUGAGUGAAUGAAUCCCUGAUUCCUCAUUGUGUAAGUUCUUUCAAGGUAUAAGAAAGACGUCAACAGUUUCCUUAGUUACCAUCGACUAUAUCUUAAAAGGAAAGAUUGGUGAUAGCUACUUUAGCAUGUUUUUUUCUAUGACUAUAAUGUUAUUCGGUCUAUGAAACAUGUCUAAGAAAGCAACUAGCCUAGAACUAAAAGAUAUGAGUAGAGUACGAAGAUUUAUUCUCCUUACAUCUGACUUAUGCAUUCACUGGUCGACCAGUUGUAUAAUCUGCCUAGGGAUGAAUACAAUUGUGAAUACAUAGAGUGCACAACGUCAAACAUAAUUUUUGUUGAGGGAUUAAAUAUGUUUGUACCGAUGUAAAGGAUAAUGAAAUCUAGGAAAUAUAAUGAAUAAGUUAUUUAAAUCUCUUGUAAAAAGUGCAAUUGAGAUUUUUUUUGCUCUACAAGCUCCAAUUUAUAUUGUUCAUGGGUCACACGUUGCAUUUGCCCGUAUGAUACUGCGGUUGUGGCUUUAUGCCCAAAACUCUACUCUCGUUGCUAUGAUUGCUCAAUCAUCCCAUCACGUGCGAGUGGUAGAUGUUAGAUUUAACGUCCAUGAUGGGAUGGAUUAAUCUAACGUAAGUGAUAAGGUAAACUUAGAGUUUGUCUAGGAUUCUUAUGAGAUAUAAAAUUAGUAUUUUAUCUUAAUCCUAAUCACAUAAGAUGUAACUUAUCAAAUAACUCUAGGAAGUUGAUUUGAAUUAAACUACACUUACUGUACUAUAUAAACACUACAUGGGUGAGUGAUAGCACGUAAAAUAAUAAUCACAAGAAUCAAAGCAACAUCAAAAGAGAGUGAGAGAAAAGGAAAAAAGGCAAUGGGUUCUUGCUUCGUGAAUUGAGGGGAUUUUCUAAAUACGUGAUUAUCCUUCGAUCAUCAAUGACAUAAACUUGUGACGAUCCGUUCGUGAAGGAGAUUUGCUUGUGAAGGUUCUAGUUCCUAGCAAUCGAUUCCUGUUCGUUGCGAUCUGCUUGUGUUAGUUCCUGAUUUUUAGGAGAUUGGAGGGAGCUUAUUUUUAUUCUUGCAGAUUCGUGACGAUUCAUUUCUACAUCAACCAAUAAGGUAUGGAUUUGAUUGAACAAAAUAAAUUGCAUGAUUUAUUUAGAAAAUCAUCAGACUCUGUAGAAGCCUUCUCGCAUACUCAAAUGCUAACAUGAAGAGACCACAGAGGUAUAAUAGAUAAAGACGUAGCUUCUCUAGUGGGCCUGAAACAUAGCUUAUUGGUCCCGAAGUUGUUCUUACAAAUGACAUCCCUUUCGCCAAAUCCCCUGACAAAGAACUGAAAAUAUCAGCAGAAAAUGUCAAAGACUGAAAACAGAGUUCUGAUGUAGAAAUAUCAAAAUCGCUAAUUGUCUCCCUCUCAAUCCUGACCAGACAGAGAGGAAGAUAACCUAACUGAAACAAAUUGACCACUGAUGAUUUUUGUGUCUGGAAAAUGUUUCAGUGUUGAUUUGAGCUCUCUUAAGUAGUUAUCAUGUGUCCUUCUGGAACUCUUAGGUUUCCAAAUCCACGAACAUAUUAUUGGAAAAAUGGGAACUCUAUGGAUUAACCACGAGUUUAUCUUCAUAGACAACUCAGUAUGAAAAGCUUUCAAUCCAUGUUAGGCAAGUAUGCUCUAACAUUAUUGCCCACACAUAACAUGGAAAAGAGAAAGACUAUCUUGAUUGUGGCGUGCUUACCAGAACUUGUCUGGGGCAGAUUAGUCCAAUCUUGUGGGCUUAUCUUCUUUUCAGAUGCCUUGAUCAAGUCGAUGAGAGUUUGAUUGACCUGAAAUUUCAAGUAAGAGUUUAACGUCUAUAUGCUUAAUUUGUAGCCAAGUAAAAUUAAACAAAUAUCAGUAAUUUAGGAAAGUAAAACUUCAAGAAGCAUUGGGACAUCUUUCUACCAAUAAAUUCAUAACAUUAUUUUACGCGUGAAGAUCUAAUUCAAUCCCAGUUAUUCAAAAAUCUUGAGUCACUUAAGGUCAAUCCUCAAUAUUAGGAAGAUUAUUGUCCAUAAUACAAAUGUAAAGACCCUUUUGUCUCAAUCAAAUUCGAUUAUGACAAUUUUUUACUGACUUUGAUAAGAAAACUUUGCCAAUUAGUUUGCACAACUGUACUUCAUUUAAUAAUUCAUUAAUUGUAAAUGUCUCACACAACCAAUUGGACUACUUGCAUAUUUGUCUGAUCUAUUGGGCAAAGGAAAUACCUCUUCUGUCCUCUCAUGACUUACAAGAUGUCCUCCAGGAAGAUCUAUCAUUCUAGCAACAUGGUACAACUUCUCUGCUAGUCUCCUUGCAUAACAGAUUUGUGCAAUGAUAUCAUGCCUAUACAUUCAGUGGAGCGAAUUAAUAUUUUUGCUCAAAUUCAGUUAUGUAACAUUCAGUUAUCCAUGUAUCACUACUAGAAAUGCCCAAAAUAUUGACCAGGCUCCUGCACGACCUUCUAAGUUCGAUGUAUAUUAACCUAUUUUCAAGUUUGCAUGUGUAUACAUUUGUUUUCUCUUUGUGCUUGUUUGUGCAUGAAUGAAAUAACGAUUCUCUUGAUCGUCUGAGAUUAAGAAAGGCAUUGAAACAAAACUAAUACUCUUUACUCCAAAAAUACCAAAUUCUUGCCAAAUCCUGUCAUCUCCUUGUUAAAUGCAGGUUGAUUGCGAACUUUGACAAUUUACUAUAAAGCACAGCACGGACUUCCAUUUCAGGUAAUUUUUCCCAAUUUAUUUUAUUUUUUUCACGAAGAACCCAGUUUUAAUUUCCCAUCAAUAUUUGGAGCCUAUCUCAUAACAUUAUAUCUACAGAAUCCAAGAAUAUAUAAGCAUAUUGUUUUCUUUUAUGAUAAUUGACAUUAUAUGGUUUAUUAAUUCGUGAAACAGUUUGGUGAUAUUAAAUAAACAUUUUGCAGACUUCAACUCAUCUAAAUGACAUUUGAAAAAUGAAGUUUAAUUUUGUAACAAUUGUCAUUCCUGUAUGCCCUAUGCAUAUUCCUUUACAAGUAUCUUAAAAUAAUAAAAUCAUAAAGCAUGUCACUUUAAUAAUAUGAAUUUAGACAUGUUGUAAAUCAUGGUGGAUUCCAACAAAAUAAUGCUCUCCUAUUAUCAUCUUAUUGCUCUUCCCAUUAUCCUUUUUAUAAUUAAUAAUUGUGAAUAACUCCACCUUGUAAUGCCUAUAUAAACCCUUUCUUUGUUAAUGAAUGAAGACAAUUUCAAUUCCUCGCUCAAGGCAUUUUGCUUGUUUUCUUCAAUCUUCAUUUGAGUAUUCCUUACUUACAUAUUCCCAAUUAAAUAAUUGCUUACAUACAACCCCUUUAAAUUAUAACAUCCAUUAUCUCCAAAUUUACAACACGUUAUCAGCACGAAGUUCGCUCUGGUACAAGAAGUAUUCUAUCCAUUUACUCUUUUAUUUUCUACGUAUUUAUUUAAAAAAAUUUCCUAUAAGUAAUACUUAUUAUUUACACUCUUUUCAAUAUUUAUUAUACUAAUAUCUUUUUAUUUGUUUGUGAUAAUGUCUCACUUGAAAAAAUUGGAGUUUAACGCUUUGGAUAUAUCAGGCGAGAAUUAUUUAUCCUGGAUCCUAGAUGUCGAAAUUCAUCUUGAUGCUAUGGGGCUUAGUACCACCAUAAAAAAUAAUAAUGACUCAUCCACUCAAGAUCGAGCCAAGGCUAUGAUUUUUCUACGACAUCAUCUUCACCAAGCACUUAAAAUGGAAUAUCUCACUAUAAAGGAUCCAUAUGUUCUGUGGAGCAGUUUGUAUGAAAGAUAUGGUCAUUUAAGGUCAGUCAUUCUUCCCAAUGCUCGUAAUGAAUGGAAUGCCCUCAGGCUACAAGACUUUAAGUCAGUACAUGAAUAUAAUUCUGCACUAUACAGAAUUACUUCACAGUUAAAACUAUGUGGAGAAAAUAUCACUGAUGAGGAUAUGUUGGAAGAAACAUUUACAACAUUUCAUGCUUCCAACAUGGUUUUGCAACAACAAUAUAGUGCUCGUCAGUAUAUAAAAUAUUCUGACUUGAUUGCAUGCCUUCUUGUGGCAGAAAAGAAUAAUGAAUUAUUAAUGAAAAAUCAUCAAGCCCAUCCUACUAGUACAAAACCAAUUUUUGAAGCAAAUGCAGUCUCACAUGAUCGUGAAGACAAUUAUGAAAAUGGGCGUGGCCGUGGGCAUAAUCGUGGCCGUAGACAUAGUUGUGGCCAUGGUCGUGGCUAUUAUCGAGGAAGAGGAUAUAAUAAGAAUCAUUAUUACCAACCUCGUGGUGGAUAUAAAAAUCACAAAAAGGAGAAAAAUGAGAACCAACAUAACACUCAAGAAAACACUUGUGAUAGAUGUGGAAUGUCUAGUCAUUUUUGGAGACAAUGUCGUACUCCCAGACAUCGUGUGGAUAUGUUUCGGGCAUCCCUAAAAUCAAAAGGAAAUAAUAUUGAAACAAACUAUGUUGAUGACUUGGAUCCAGUGGAUGUUACACAUCUUGAUGUUUCAGACUUCUUUGAAGACAAGGAUGGAAAAAUUGAUCACUUGAUUGGUGAUGGAAAUGUUCAUCACAUUUAAAAUUUUAUUUGUGCUUUAUGUUUGUUCAUGUAAUUUUUAUUUUUCGUGUUAUCUAAUAUGUAUUUCCCUUUUUACUUUUGUUUAAGGAUAUGGAUUUCAAUAAAAUGUUUGAUGGAGAAAUAUGAUCUGCUGAUAGUGCAACUACACACACGAUUCUUCGAAACAAGAGGUAUUUUUUAAAUCUAAAUCUAAUUAAGGCAAAUGUGAAUACAAUAUCAGGUCCAGUAGAUCGUAUUGAAGGUACAGGAAGAGCAAUGAUUAUAUUAGCAAAAGGUACAAAAUUGGAUAUUCAUAAUGCUCUGUAUUCACCUAAAUCAAAAAGAAAUUUACUUGGUUUUAAAGACAUUCGUCGUAAUAAUUUUCAUAUAGAAACAAUGGAUAAGAAUAAUGUAGAAUAUCUAUACAUUACUUCUAACAUGUCUAGAAAGAAAGAGAUAUUAGAAAAGCUUCCAGCUGAAAUAUAAGUGUGCAACCCAAGAGGGGGGUGAAUUGGAAUUUUAAAAAUUAUCCUAGCAAAUCCACACAACAAGCAAUCUAAUGUCUUAAUGAAAAUGAAAGCAAUAAGUUCAAUAAAAGCACAAUAACUAAUGAGUAAGGGAGAAGAGAAACAAACACACGAAUUUUUACGUGGUUCGGCAAACCCCGCCUACGUCCACGCCUCCAAGCGAUCCAAGCUUGAGGAUUUCACUAUCCAAGCCUUUCCAAGGCUUCAACCUUUUACAAUUGACUUCAAGGUGUCAUUGAACCUUUACAACAAAGAGAUUAUCUCCCAAUCUCUUCACUCAAGUGUCUCACACACUCAAACUCUUACAAUUAAGAUGAAGAAAUGAAAGUUACAAUGAAACUCACUCAAUGAGUAGAUAUUCAAAAAUGAAGAACAAGAAAUGAUUCAAUGUUUUGUGUUUUGCAAGUUGAAGGAUCAAGAUAUCUCGUGUGCUUUUUGUUUUUGCUUGUUGGAGAGAUUGAAAAUGAGUUGGAUUUGAGUUUAUAUAGUUUGAGCUAAAAAACUAGCCGUUAUACACAUUUUGGUCGUAACCGGAUUGCCGGUUAUGGACAUCUGGUUAUCCGCUUAAUGUUAUUGUUACAGCCACAAUUUUAAAUUUCUGAACAUCCGGUAUGUCGCUUUGUCAAAUCCGGAUUGCCGCUUAUGCUCAGAAGCUUACUGCCCAACAACCGGAUUUCCGUUUGUCAGGAUCCGGUUAGCCGCUUGCUACAGUAACUGCUACAGUGAAAUAUUUUCUAAUUUUACAGUUUGACCCCAAAACUUUAUAAAACUGUAUUAUGGCAUGAAACUUUGCAAAUAGGUCCAAUUUCAGAAUUUCUAAAUAAUACUUUGUCAAUCCCAAAACUUUCUGAAAUUAUGAUUUCACCCAAACUAUGUGAAAUUAUAAAAUGACCCAAAAUAUUUAAAUAGUUUCAACUAGGUCCAAAUCCGAAUGUUAAAACAAUAUCAAAGGUUCUAAAAUACAUUCAUUUUAGUCCAAAACACUUUGAUUCUAUAACAUCAUUUUCUUAUUAUAAAAACACAAUUCAUAAAUCAUUGUUUAAUCAAUACAUGUGGUUUGUUAUCAUCAAAAUCAAUAUNNNNNNNNNNNNNNNNNNNNNNNNNNNNNNNNNNNNNNNNNNNNNNNNNNNNUCUUAUUAUAAAUACAUUCAUUUUAGUCCAAAACACUUUGAUUCUAUAACAUCAUUUUCUUAUUAUAAAAACACAAUUCAUAAAUCAUUGUUUAAUCAAUACAUGUGGUUUGUUAUCAUCAAAAUCAAUAUCUAUAGCUAUAUAAGCUAACACCAGCUUUUUCAUCUGGCUUAUAUUAUACGACGAUAAAAUCAAUGGAAACUUACACAGUCAUAAAAGAUAAGUUAUAUGAUCCAAAAUCUUUUAUACUAUGGCAUGACCGCCUUGGUCACCCUGGAUCAACAAUGAUGCGUAGAAUUAUUGAAAAUUUUCAUGGACAUCCAUUGAAAGAUUUGAAAAUUUAUUGUCAAAUGAGAAUAGUUGUAUUGCUUGUUCACAAGGAAAAUUGGUAGUUAGACCAUCACCCAGUAAAAUUAAUUCUGAAUCUCUAUCAUUUUUACAAAGGAUUCAAGGAGAUAUAUGUGGGCCUAUUCACCUACCAAGUGGACAAUUUCGUUAUUUUAUGGUUUUGAUUGAUGCAUCUGCACGAUGGUCACAUGUUUUUUUAUUAUCUACACGUAACGUUGCAUUUGCAAGAUUGCUUGCGCAGAUAAUCAGGUUACGUGCACAAUUUCCAGAUUAUCCAAUCAAGACCAUACGUCUAGAUAAUGCUGGUGAGUUUACUUCCAAAAUAUUUGAUGAUUACUGCAUGACAGUUGGGAUUGAUGUAGAACACCCAGUACCACAUGUACAUACUCAGAAUGGAUUAGCAGAAUCUCUUAUCAAACGUCUUCAGGUAAUUGCCAAAACUUUAUUAUUACGAAGUCAAUUACCUAUUUCGACAUGGGGACAUGCUAUUUUGCAUGUUACGACAUUAAUCCGCUUGAGGCCUACUGCCUAUCAUAAAUAUUCCCCAUUGUAAUUGGCAUUGGGACAUCAACCAGAUUUAUCCCAUUUACGCAUUUUUGGUUGCACAGUACAAGUGCCGAUUGCGCCCCCACAACGUACUAAAAUGGGACCCCAACGACGAUUGGGAAUUUAUGUGGGAUUUGACUCACCAUCUAUUAUCAUAUAUCUUGAACCAUUGACAGGUGACGUAUUUACAGCACGAUUUACGAAUUGUCAUUUUGAUGAGACAAUUUUUCCUCCAUUAGGAGAAAGAAAAAAGGUCCAUGAGGUUAGGCAUGAUCCUCAAUGGAAAGUGACCCAUCUAUCUCAUUUAGAUCCACGCACAUCUCAGAGUGAAAAUGAAGUGCGAAGGAUGGUUCAUUUGCAGCAAAUUGCAGAACAAUUGCCAGAUGCAUUUACAGAUACGGCAAAAGUAACCAAAUCAUAUAUACCAGCUGCUAAUAUACCCGGCCGAGUCAUUGUAUACAAAGAACAAUUAAUGAAAAGUGUGGCUGAGGAAUUAUCUGUGGCACGCCAGAAGCGUGGUAGACCAAUUGGUUCAAAAGAUAGUGUUCCAAGAAAAAGAAAAAUGAUUAAACAGUGUUCUGCUACAAAUGAUGAUAAAAAUCUAAAAGAACAAAUUGCUUCAGAAAAGAAACCAGUCUUUGAAAAGACCAGAACCCUGACAAUACACAAACUCUUCAUGAGGAACAAAGCCUUGAAAAGGCACAUGAAUCCAGAAAUAGUGAGAUUUCUGUUGAUUAUACUCAUGGUAAAAUUAUCAUCAAUGAUGUGUUUACGUUUAAAGUAGCUACUGACAUUAUAACUGAUCAUGAUCCGUUAACCAUUGAUGAAUGUAGACUGAGGCAUGAUUGGCUUAAAUGGAAAGAAGCAAUCCAGGCAGAGUUGACUUCUUUAGCCAAACGUGAAGUAUUCAGACCUAUAGUCCAAACACCUAAGGAUGUCAAACCUGUUGGGUACAAAUGGGUAUUUGUAAGGAAACGUAAUGAAAAUGAUGAAGUUGUAAGAUAUAAAGCACGACUUGUUGCACAAGGCUUCUCACAGAGACCUGGUAUUGAUUAUAAUAAGACAUACUCUCCAGUAAUGUGUGCAAUUAUGUUUCAAUUUUUAAUUGGUUUGGCUAUAUCAGAAAAUCUUGAUAUGCGUCUCAUGGAUGUAGUGACAGCUUAUGUAUAUGGGUCACUUGACACGGAUAUAUAUAUGAAAAUCCCUGAAGGAUUUAAAAUGCCAGAAUCUUGUCAAUCAUCACAUCGUGGCUUGUAUUCAAUAAAGCUACAAAAGUCUUUAUAUGGAUUAAAACAAUCUGGACGCAUGUGGUAUAAUUGCCUCAGUGAAUACUUGAUAAAAAUAGGAUACGUUAAUGAUCCUAUAUGUCCGUGUGUUUUUAUCAAGCAAUCAAAAUCUGGAAUUGCUAUUGUCGCGGUUUAUGUUGAUGAUUUGAAUUUAAUAAGAACUCCUGAAGAGCUCCAAAAGACCGCUGAAUGUUUGAAAAAUGAAUUUGAGAUGAAAGAUUUAGGGAAAACUAGAUAUUGUCUCGGGCUGCAGAUCGAGCACAGACCUAAUGGUAUCUUUAUCCAUCAAUCAAAUUAUACCGAGAAAAUUUUGAAACGUUUCAACAUGGAUAAAGCUUACCCAUUGAGUACCCCAAUGGUAGUCCGGUCUCUUGAUCCUAAAAAAAAUCCAUUCCGUCCUAAAGAAGAUGAUGAACAGAUACUUGGUCCUGAGGUACCAUAUCUAAAUGCAAUUGGUGCUCUGAUGUAUUUAGCACAAUGUACUAGACCAGACAUAGCAUUUUCUGUUAAUCUGUUAGCUUGAUUUAGCUCUGAACCAACUAGAAGACAUUGGAAUGGUGUCAAACACAUUUUUCGUUAUCUUCAAGGAACAAUUGAUUUAGGCUUAUUUUAUUCUAAUGAACUAACACCAAAUCCAGGUCUCGUUGGUUAUGCUGAUGCAAGAUAUUUAUUUGAUCCCCAUAAAGCUCGUUCACAAACAGGAUAUGUUUUUACUUUCAAUGGUACAACAAUUUCUUGGAAGUCUACAAAACAGACUCUCGUUGCAACAUCCUCCAACCAUUCUGAAAUUCUUGCACUACAUGAAGCCAGUCGAGAAUGCAUAUGGUUGCAAUCUGUAAUCCAUCAUAUUCAAAGUACAUGUAGAAUAUCUUCAAGUUCAGAUAUCCCAACAGUGAUAUAUGAAGAUAAUGCUGCAUGUAUAGCUUAACUUAGAGGAGGAUACAUUAAAGGGGACAGAACAAAACAUAUUCCGCCGAAAUUCUUCUACACCCAUGAGCUCCAACAGAACAAGAAGAUUGAUAUCAAACAGAUACGCUCCACGGAAAAUUUAGAUGAUAUGUUUACAAAAGCUCUACCUACAUCUACAUUUGAAAAAAUCGUAUAUGGCAUCGGCAUGCGUCGUUUUAACAAACUGUUAAAUUAAUGCAUGUUGCCUUCAGGAAGAGCACUCAACAAGAGGAGCGUGAUCUUACAAGAGAAGAAUUAUAGUAAUAUUGGACACAUAUGUACUGUACUCUUUUUUCCUUUUGACCAGGUUUUCCCACUGGGUUUUUACUGGCAAAGGUUUUUAAUGAGGCAGUAUCCAAUGUCAUCAGGGGGAGCACAUCUAAUAAAUAAUUGGUGAAUCCAAGGGGAGUGUUGUAAAUCAUGGCGGAUUCCACCAAAAUAAUGCUCUCCCAUUAUCAUCUUAUUGUUCUUCCCAUUAUCCUUUUUAUAAUUAAUAAUUGUGAAUAACUCCACCUUGUAAUGCCCAUAUAAACCCUUUUUUUGUUAGUGAAUGAAGAUAAUUUCAAUUCCUCGCUCAAGGCAUUUUGUUUGUUUUCUUCAAUCUUCAUUUGAGUAUUCCUUACUUACAUAUUCCCAAUUAAAUAAUUGCUUACAUACAAUCCCUUUAAAUUAUAACAUCCAUUAUCUCCAAAAUUAUAACAAGACACAAUUAUACAGCUAUGUUCAUGUGCAUUAUGGUUGCUCAUGUACCUGCCAUGAAUCAGUGACACAAGAAAUCCAGCUGAACGAAUGGUUUGAAUGUCUUUUUGUGUCAUUUUAUGCAUCCAGCAGGCAUGGAUUUGACCAUCAAAACCAUAAUUAGACUGCAUCCCAGUUGCUGAUAUACCUUUUACAUAUUCCUGUGAGUAACAUAUUUGAGGUCAAGCUAUCGGCAUUUUCCUUGAAAAUAGGUAUAUAUAAAAUAAGAACUUUAAAUAUUGUCAAUGUUGUAACGAGUUAAGGAAACUACAAUGAUUAUCUUAAAAUAAAUAUCCAUUACCAAAAGAAAGCCUAAGACUGUCAGGCACAACUGAAUCACUCAACUGAUAUCGAUUCCAUCGAGGGUGCCAAUGAAAAAGCAAACCUUGAAAAAGAAAAAUCUCGAAAUACUCAACCAAAUACUUGGUUAUCUAACUACAGCCUCUUGACGCUACAUACCAAAAGCCAGAUAGCAAGCAAAACUAAAACUUAAUUUUGUCGACAACGGACCAAAAACUGAAUAAUUGACCAGUUCACUUGACUUAGAUAGCUUUGUCACCCUUGAUUUAUCGGAUGCUCAAUUUUGAACAGACCCAAGCUGAAAAGUCCAGAGAUAUAAAGACUAACAACAUCUUACUCUAAAUUCAAGGGAAGCAGGUUUGUUAAAAUUAUAUGAUCAUCUAGAAAACAAGAGUUCUUACUUGAUAUAAAAUUGCUCUUCUAGUAGAAGAUCCAACAUAUUCUUCAAGAUAUUCCUGCACCCCACGUCACAAAUAGUAAUUAGCCUGAAAGGAAUCUUACCACAAACAGAAUCAUCUUUAUACCAUUCCCAUCCCUUUCAAUAUUAAAAGGGUGAGAAAAACUAGUGGAGAAAGAAUUGUUUUUAGAACAUUGUUUGAAGUUCCAAUUCCUAAGCAAUGACAUCCACAGUUAAAUUUGUUUACAGUACAAGUUUUAUGUAUUAGAUAGUCCUAGCCAUAGUUUUUACAACUUGACCAUGUCCUAAGCCAUGCUUCACUGGCUUCAUGUCUUAGAUUGUCUUAACCUUGUAUUUAUUUUUCUUUUCCCUGAAUGUUAUUACCCAGAAAAUAAAAUCCGUACAAUUAUCAAAAAUUGCAUUAUGAAUGUAUAUGUUCAAUUUCUGCCUCCUUGAUAUUAAUAUGCAUUGCAUGGUAAAUAUACAAAUAUAAGUAUAUAAGCACUAAAUUUUUGAAUAUAUAAUAUUUCAAAAGAAGCAUGUUGUAUAUUUCAUGCAAUGUCAUGAGUUGAUUGCCAUUUGGAGCCCAAUUGAACCUAUUGACCCUAGCCCUUUUCUCUUAUCCAGUUCAAUCAUUGGAUUAAAAUCAUAAUAAGUAAGAGAUCUAUUAAAAGUUUACAAUGAAAAACAUCCGCUGAUUCUAGUUCUGAUUCUGAUUCAGAAGAGUAAAGUGACUAGAAUAUAGCUUUGAGAAACCUCUAUUAGAACUAGAAACCCAAAUACUUAUGUCCAAUUGAAACGCUUGCGUAUUUGUUAUCUUGAAAUUUUUGAACAUUUCUAAUCAUUGAAUAUGAUUUGCCCAAAGCCUCCCUGCCUAUUGUGUUUAAGAGUGCCAGAUAACCGGCUGAUCAUGCCCUAAUGAUUUAAACCAGUUGUUUAAUCAGUAUGCACUGGUCUCUAGGCAGACUACUAGAAUAUCAUUAACUUACAAAAAUCAGAUUUUCCAGUAAUGUAGAAGGCAACUCUAUUUCAACCUAAGAUUCAGCAAGCUGCUAACAAGCUUCAUAAUUUUUUCUUCAUUGAUGACCACUGACACUGGGAAAAAAGAAAAGGAAUUGUCAGUCCCACAAUUACACAAUGGUUUGACCAUAGCAUGAGGAAUCUAGAUCUGGUUCCUAACAGGUUUGUCCUUCAAACAAUAGAAAUGCCUAACCAGUAAUAGCUCUCAUAAUUUAGAAAAAUGCAUUUAGUGUUCCAAAAUUUCUAUGUCCUCAUAAAUCAAGAAGUUAUCAAUUUGUACAGUUAUUAAGUACGGGUUCAUCAAUUUUGAACCUAAAACAAAUUGAGCUGUAAAUUUAUUGAGCCCCUAGGGAAAGGUGAAAGGACCACCAGAUAGAUUGACUCUUCUAGCAAUAUUAUUGCUUGUGGCAAUAGCAGUAUAGCACUGUGUGUAAAGAAAUUACAGGAAUGUUGACUCUAGUUUUAGUUUCGGAGUAAUCACUACUAAAAAAAUGGUCUUUAUUGACUUUAGAAUAAUAUCAGAAAUUACUUUCACUGGCACUUGUUAAUUGUGUCAGUAAUCUGAGAGUUAAAAAAAUAGUAACACUUGUAAGUAGUGUCAAUAAUUACUAUUACUACAGUAUCAUUGAUAUUAUGACACCAUAGUAUUAGUAGUUAUUGAUAUUUUAUUAGUAUCUAUGAUUACUGUUACCAUGGUAUCACUAGUUAAUUUAUUUUUAAAAAAAUAAAAAUUAAAUUGGAUCAUUGCCUAUUGAUUUAUUUGUAAAAUUAAAAGCACCACAAAAUAACAAAAAGAAAUUGAUUUAUAUCACAAAAUCUUUCAUUUCACAUUUACAUAUUAUUAGUAUAUAUUACAAAUUGAACUUCAAUAACCAAAAUAUGAGAUAUCCUACUCUCAUAACUAAAUAAUCCAAAUUCAAUACAUAAAAAUUUCUACCAUCCAAUCAAAUGCCUACUACUUGUGGCUAAAUUUAAUAAAUCUAGAAGUUAAAUUGAGAAUGAUGACUAUCUUUCACUCUUUGAAUAUGAGUAGUAUCAUUGCGUUAUCACACCAGCAGCUUCUCCAUUCAAUAGACUGAAUGGGUUAUGAUACAAGUGAAGUUGAGGAAUAAACACUUCAAACACAUUGAGCAAAUCUGCAUACAUCGAAAAGGGAGAAAAAAUUAGCUGCCAAUUCCCAACCAUUAGAGAAACAAUGGUUAGUAUAAAUAAAUCUAUUUUGUUCUAAAGAAAAAAUAUUCAUACACUAUUUAUAAGUAAACUCAAUUAUUUCAAAGAAAAAUUAGUGAACUAGGAAGUUGUAGUUUAUUUCCUUAAAAAUACCAAAGAAAUACAGUUUAUUCAACUACAGAUAUAAAUAAGAAAAAAGGGAGUCAAUGAUUAUUCUCUUUUGGUAAGGUUAUUUAUAAUAAGUCAAUGACUCUAAAUAGAGUAAGAACGAUAACUAGGUAAAAAUACAAUUACUUGUUGAAAAUUAGUCACUAGAUUCCCAGUAACUACAUCAUAAUGUUGAGCAAUUAAUUACUAAGGCAUCAACCAAGUAGUUAGUGUAGGGACUGACUUCAUUCAUUCCCUUAAAGAAAUCCAAUAACCUUGCUACCUCCUUAUUUAUAUGCAUACUUCCAAUGUUUAAUUAUUUUGCUAUAGAGAAAGAAAGUUAAUAGAAAUGACAAACUAAUAGCGCUUUUGCAAUUUUCAGAUAAUCACACAAAGCAUUUCUUUUAUAAAUUAACCGUCUACUUGAUCGUAGCAGAGAAAAAAACACAUUAAAAGCUAAAUCUUUACCUUCUUGUUUCUUCCAAGUAGCCAAAGAAACAUAGAAGCUCUUCUCCAAGUCACUUAUUUAAACCUAAAAGAACAAUUAAAACAAAAAAAAAUCAAGAUCUAAUGACAAUAAGAGAGACCCGAAAUCAUAAAAUAAGAAAAGAAACAAGAAGUUAGGAGAAGAGCUUUUAUUGUGUUUAGGUUGAUCGUCACUGUAAGGUUAACUUUUUUUUGUUUGGCUACUUGGAAGAAACACAAGAAGGUAGGAUUUGGAAGAAACAAAAAAAUUGUCACUGUAAGAGCUUCUAUGUUUCUUUGGCUACUUGGAAGAAACAAGAAGGUAAAGAUUUAGCUUUUACCAGAAACUAAAAUUACUUUUGGAACUCAAGAAAAGUGUGAAAAUAAUCGAAAUAAAAAGCUCUCAAGUGUGGAAAACUAGCAGAGAAACCAAGUUGCUUAAACUCUUGUUCAGUCCUGUGUUUACCUUUGGCCCUGUAGAUGGUCAUAACAAAAUGUCUCCUUCUAAGAGAGCACGAGUCCUCUGACUUUCGUUUGAAUCAUCAGGUAGCACAGGCUCGCAAGCAAUCAGUUUUCCUCCUGCCGGAAGAGCCUUGUAACAGUUCUCCAUUAUCAGCUUGCAUUCAUCAUCAGUCCAUGUAGUUAAAACCCACUGAAAAGAAAGAGGCAAAUUAACCAAAAAAAAAUUUUGCGUAUGUUAACAUCAGAAGCAUAAAAUCAAAAGAAAAGUAUGAAAGUAUAGUCUGUCAAAAAUGCUUUAUUUUGACAUUGGAAAAACAAAAUGAUAUUUAUCAGGAGGUGAAACAACUUAUAAAAAUACUCUAGCAUAUAACUUGAAACUUCACUAUGAUAGUUAUCAAUUUGAUUAGUUUCUCAAUUUGCAUUUUGUUCUUCCAGAUAAUGGUCAAAGGGUAGUGGAUUAACACGGAGACAACUAUUAACCAUGAUCUCCAUUUACAUGGUUAACACUAUUCAAAAUACACAACUAGGGGACAAGAUAUAUAUAACCUGCAAUUUAAUCCUCACCUAAUGGCUAAUAUUUUCUCAUCUGUAUAAUAGACUGAAAUGAAACCUAUCAUGUGUUCAACUAAUUUAAUUUGCAUCAAUCAAAGCAACUUCUUUUUCUCCAGCUUUCUGUCUCCCCCGACACAUUCUAAAGUAAAUGAAGAGCACCAACAGCAUGUGUCAGUAAAUAGGUGUUGUGGCAAACAAUCCCAAACCUUCCAAAGUAAUGACCAUUGUUAGAUGACCAGCUCUAACAAUCGACGAUAUAUAGUAUAUUCCACAAGAAACUACUAGUUGUUAAGGAGAAAUUUUUAACUCAAACAGAGUUGUACAGUUAUGUGACUAGUGAGAGAGAGAAAGAAAGAAAGAAAGAAAGAAAGAAAGAACGAAAGAAAGAAA
This 35816-nucleotide long non-coding RNA is filed under the name Citrus sinensis (sweet orange). RNAcentral's name for it is "long non-coding RNA (CSIN_LNC005371)". The record is from RNAcentral. Lineage: Eukaryota; Viridiplantae; Streptophyta; Magnoliopsida; Sapindales; Rutaceae.